AAGUAGAUUGGGAAACUCAUCAAAUUUUAUGAAAUGCCGAGACAAGCUUUCUUUUCCAAUGGCGGGCCACGCCUUCGGGUAUGCUUAGCACGGUGGAUUACAAAGGAGAAGAGGCACUCAAAUCCUGUCAUUCGGAGUUUCAUCGCAUCCUUUGGAUGGCCUUUUU
RNAcentral lists this small RNA (166 nucleotides) under uncultured Barnesiella sp. RNAcentral's name for it is "Bacteroidales-1 6S-Bacteroidales RNA suggested". It matches the Rfam family "Bacteroidales-1 6S-Bacteroidales RNA suggested". The record is from RNAcentral. Lineage: Bacteria; Pseudomonadati; Bacteroidota; Bacteroidia; Bacteroidales; Barnesiellaceae.